Molecule: ribosomal RNA, 448 nt
Filed under: uncultured bacterium
Lineage: Bacteria
Description: bacterial SSU rRNA
Rfam family: Bacterial small subunit ribosomal RNA
Source: RNAcentral
GAUGAACGCUGGCGGCGUGCUUAACACAUGCAAGUCGAACGAAGCACCUUGAUUUGAUUCUUCGGAUGAAGAUCCUGGUGACUGAGUGGCGGACGGGUGAGUAACGCGUGGGUAACCUGCCUCAUACAGGGGGAUAACAGUUAGAAAUGACUGCUAAUACCGCAUGAGACCACAGCACCGCAUGGUGCAGGGGUAAAAACUCCGGUGGUAUGAGAUGGACCCGCGUCUGAUUAGGUAGUUGGUGGGGUAACGGCCUACCAAGCCGACGAUCAGUAGCCGACCUGAGAGGGUGACCGGCCACAUUGGGACUGAGACACGGCCCAAACUCCUACGGGAGGCAGCAGUGGGGAAUAUUGCACAAUGGGGGAAACCCUGAUGCAGCGACGCCGCGUGAGCGAUGAAGUAUUUCGGUAUGUAAAGCUCUAUCAGCAGGGAAGAAAAUGACGGU